GACAAACGCUGGCGGCGUGCCUAACACAUGCAAGUCGAACGGAGAUAGAAUCAAAACUUGUUUUGGAUUUAUCUUAGUGGCGGACGGGUGAGUAACGCGUGGGCAACCUGCCUUUUACCGUGGGACAACAUCGGGAAACCGGUGCUAAUACCGCAUAACAUAUGAUCUUGACAUCAAGGACAUAUCAAAGGAAUCAAAUCCGGUAAAAGAUGGGCCCGCGUCUGAUUAGAUAGUUGGUGAGGUAACGGCUCACCAAGUCGACGAUCGGUAGCCGGACUGAGAGGUUGAACGGCCACAUUGGGACUGAGAUACGGCCCAGACUCCUACGGGAGGCAGCAGUGGGGAAUAUUGGGCAAUGGGGGAAACCCUGACCCAGCAACGCCGCGUGAAGGAUGAAGGUUUUCGGAUUGUAAACUUCUUUGAUCAGGGACGAAACAAAUGACGGUACCUGAAGAACAAGCCACGGCUAACUACGUG
RNAcentral lists this ribosomal RNA (477 nucleotides) under uncultured bacterium. Its description in RNAcentral is "bacterial SSU rRNA". It matches the Rfam family "Bacterial small subunit ribosomal RNA", at positions 28 to 507 of the family's 1533-position model. The record is from RNAcentral.